UGUCUUUCAGGGUAGAGAGGAAAAGAAAUUGCUGCCAACUGUGUGUCACUCCCGAUUCAUUUCCAAGUGAAAACAGUCUUGUGAGAUAUAAGGAAAAAAUGAGAGCGAUUAACGUCUUCAAGGACAUUCUGGCCACUGGCUUUAAUGCAGUGGCUCCCCUCCAGGAGGCCGAGAUUCCUGCCACGUUCUGCAGAGUCAUUGCCGAUGGAGGGCCAGGACUCUGACCAAACUGGAUCAGGCCCCAGGUGGAUCUCCAAGCACUGUCACAUCCCAAGGUCCUGGGGGUCGAGGCUUCCCCGUGGUGAGUCUUGGAGAAACAACCCCACUCCUGUGCAGGCCGGGCCCAUGGAGCUGCGUGACACAGUAGGAUUCCUGCCAGGGCUCAGGUGCCAUCUGCCCCAGGGUGGCACCGGUCACUGGGACACAGGGAGGACCACUGGCCAUGGCCUGCUCUCACACCGAGUGGAUCUAACAGCCACGUUCUGUGCCGAUCCCUGGAGGGGGAUCAGACCCAGUUCAGGUAUUAACAGCUUGUUUGAUGCCUUGGAGAAAAUGGCUUCAUCUCUCUCUCUCUGAGGAAAGGGGUGGGGAUGGGGACCUCAGGGAUCCCCGCCUGCCCCAUGUGGACCAGAGAGGGGCAGGAGCAGAGUCAGGCUGACUACAGCUGGGGCCACCUCCGGGCCCCUGUCUUUGCAGAUCAGGUGAUGGAACCUCAGCCAGAUCUUGCUGGACCGCUGCUGAGCUGGGGGUGUUGCGCAGUUGAGGUGGCCGCAGAGCCUGGAGCCUGGGCCACCUGGCUCUUCACUGAGAGAGGCCUGCAGCCCUCGGCCAGAGCAUCCCUGUCUCCGUGGCAGGGUUUCGCCAGGUGGGCACAGGCCUGCAGAUGGACCUUCCUAAGUCUUGAUGGGAUGCUCCUCAUUGGCCACCACCUGCAACACUUGUUUUGAGUCUGGGCAGGUGAAAGGUGAGACCGAAGGGGACCCUGGGGCCACCAAAGGCGCCCAGAGACUCUGGGUGUGUGCAGUCCCUUCCUGUCCACCUGGUGGAGUAGGAAUGAAGCCACUGAAGGACACGCAUCUGCCUGGAGGAGAAGGAGCUGCUGCUGUCCCUGCCAUGGAGAGUGCCAGGAGUGGGAGCAGACAGCUGGGGACACAGGACGGCACACUCUGCCCACCGUCCCACAGCUUCCUGCUUUCUGCAAGCCAAGGCCUGGAACAGAACUAGACCCUGAAUACAGAAGCAUUAACAGCCCCGAACACCAACA
This 1264-nucleotide long non-coding RNA is filed under the name Ictidomys tridecemlineatus (thirteen-lined ground squirrel). RNAcentral's name for it is "lncRNA (ENSSTOG00000032567.1)". Lineage: Eukaryota; Metazoa; Chordata; Mammalia; Rodentia; Sciuridae. The record is from RNAcentral.